This 39-nucleotide ribosomal RNA is filed under the name Petromyzon marinus (sea lamprey). Lineage: Eukaryota; Metazoa; Chordata; Hyperoartia; Petromyzontiformes; Petromyzontidae. The record is from RNAcentral.
GGAAUGCGCCCGAUCUCGUCAGAUCUCGGAAGCUAAGCC